This 99-nucleotide non-coding RNA is filed under the name Lachnospira eligens. RNAcentral's name for it is "Eubacterium eligens SAM-I sequence". It matches the Rfam family "SAM riboswitch aptamer (S box leader)". Rfam says of the family: The SAM riboswitch is found upstream of a number of genes which code for proteins involved in methionine or cysteine biosynthesis in Gram-positive bacteria. The SAM riboswitch acts at the level of transcription termination control. Lineage: Bacteria; Bacillati; Bacillota; Clostridia; Lachnospirales; Lachnospiraceae. RNAcentral also lists the same sequence under 1 other name. The record is from RNAcentral.
CCCUUAUUAAGAGCGGUGGAGAUACAUAGGAUCUAUGAAACCCGGCAACCCCUUUUGAGGAAGGUGCCAACCUGAGCGAUAUUAGUCGAACAAUAAGAG